AGAUUUUCCCAUUUUAUUCCUUCCUGGAGCCUGUGAGGAAAAAACAGCAGGCCAGAGGGACUCAGCACGAUGGUCGACCCCAUCCCUUUGCCAUCUAUGGAUCCCAGCGAUGCCAAAACAGAGAUGGUCACCAAGCUUUUCUGUGUCCUCUCUAAAGCGGUUGAGGAGCUGGGUUUCGCAGUCGUCUGGAUGAAUGGUUCCUGCCGGGGCGCCGCAAGGCCCUUUGUUAGCGAGCCACUCCAUUCUUCCCGGAGGUCCAUGAUGAACUUACAAAAUUUUGGUACAUUCCCUAAUCGGCUCGCCUCUGUACAUCCGCUUCAUCCACCCUCACCUCUGUGGACGGUGCUGAAGAGAAGGGCUACAAGAAGCUGCCUCUGCUGGAAGAGUCAGUAGCCGCCCACCUCUGCCCGCCCGCUGCCAUCGGAUGGAAGGCUAAGGUCUCCCACCCGUCCAAGCCGUGGCAGGUGAGAGCAGAAGUCCAAAAGUCCAAAAAUAAGGGCCACCCUACUGUGCAGUGGAAUUCCGAGCAUCUGUCUGCGUUGAGCUCAUGUCCGCCCCUCCGCCGGACUCAGCACUGCCCCUUUAUCUGCAAUCAUACUGAGAGUCAUCCAGCACAGGGCACAGGACUGAGGGGAGCACAGGAGCCAUGGCCGUGUUCUCAGCGCUUUAUUCACUCUUUCUGUUCCAGCUGUUGACAUCGUCUCUCGCUCAGCAAAAGCCGGGUCCUCGGGGUGCACCUGGAGCGCCAGGGCCGCUGGGACCCCCAGGGAAAGAUGGCAUCGACGGUAAACCUGGCCCUGCCGGACUUCCUGGAAAGCCUGGGCUGAAAGGUAAAGCAGGUAAACCUGGGGCCGCAGGAAGCCCGGGACUGCCUGGCCUCCCUGGUGUGGAUGGUUUGACUGGUCCGGACGGUCCAGCUGGCAAGGAUGGACCAUCAGGAGCAGCAGUAAGUGACUCUCAUUAUGGUUGUCUCAUUGGGGAGGAUAGAUCUCCAGCGGUCGGGUUUUUCUCUGCAUCCAUCUGUCCUCCAGGUCCUCCUGGACCCCCGGGAAUGCCUGGAUUCAAGGUACUUGAUCUCAGCAACACUGGUUCUCGAGGGCUGAGAGGACUGCAGGGGCCAGUGGGAGCAGUAGGAGACAGAGGAUUGCCUGGCUUCAGAGGAAAACCUGGAAUUGCUGGCAUCAUUGGAAAAACUGGUGAUGCUGGUGAGAAAGGACCGCAAGGUUUCAAAGGGCCCAAAGGAGAGAUAGGGAAAAUAGGCCCAAAGGGACUCCCUGGAGGUGCAGGACCUAAAGGCGAACCGGGCAUCCCAGGCAGGGACGGGAAGGAUGGCACUCAAGGGCUGGACGGUGAAAAGGGAGAUGCUGGGAGACCUGGAGUACCUGGUGAGAAAGGACCUAACGGCCUGCCUGUACAAUCCUUCUCUGUUCAGGGCAGUCCAGGAAAGAUGGGAGAAGCAGGACCGUCUGGAGAGCCAGGUAUACCUGGUGAGAUUGGCAUCCCUGGAGAGAGAGGAGAGGCUGGACCCAGAGGUGUGGCUGUAACAGUAGUUGAUGAAAUGUAUUACGUUUGUGUUUCCAUACAGGGUAUUAAAGGAGCUUUAGGUGAUCCAGGUCUGCCUGGUCCUACUGGAAUCAGAGGUGGCUUUGGUGAGCGGGUGAGUGACACAUAUAUGUCUGGAGUUGCUGGAAGUGAUGGUUUACCGGGGGAGAACGGGGAGCCCGUACGUAACACUUCCGGUAAGCGUGGUGAGCUGGGAGCCAAAGGAGUUGUAGGACCACAGGGAGAGACUGGAGCCAGGGGGGCACCUGGAAAACCAGGACCAAUGGGAUUUCAAGGAGAACAAGGUUUUCCAGGAGUUGCUGGAAAGACUGGUGUUCCUGUUCAUGAUGCAACCUGUAACAUUGGUGUGUUGAUCUUAGAUCAGAUAGCUCAGCUCGCUGCUAACCUGAGAAGACCUCUGGCUCCUGGUGCUGUGGGACGGCCUGGACCACCGGGGCCUCCAGGAAAGCCAGGAGAAGUUGGAUCCAUUGGUCACCCUGGAGCCCUUGGCCCGCCAGGUUAUAGAGGACUGCCAGGAGAUCUCGGUGAUCCUGGUCCUCGAGGAGAUGUCGGUGAGCCAGGUGAUAAGGGGCCUGUAGGUAAAGCGAUCGAAGGGCCCACUGGAGACCAGGGUGACCCGGGUCUGCCAGGCGUGCAUGGCAUUGUCAAAGAUGGCCGUGACGGAGCACCUGGAGAUCCAGGAGAAGCAGGAGAAGCAGGAAGAGCCGGCAGACCGGGACACCAGGGAUCACCCGGAAUCUGUGACACAUCAGCGUGUCAAGGAGCCGCGGUUCACGGGAAGUCAUCCAACCCCAAGAACCAUUAACAGGAGAAACUACAGAACUCCCUUUCAGGAACGCUUCUGGAGGAGAAACAGAACUGAAGAAGUGUCAGUGGAUGUCAAACCAGCAUUUUCAGAGCCGAAGGAACAUUGAGCAUCAGAGAGGAACGUUCAUGAUUUCCUCUGUGUAACUCAAGAGGCUUGAAGUACCAACAUGUGUAGAUACAACAAAAGACUAAAUACAUCACACCGUGAAACUAGUUGAUGUGAAAAAUAAUUCAGUCAUUGUAUUAGAAGUCUUCUUGUACAGCACCCUUUAAAAGUGUAAUGGAGUACAACUUUGAGCUUCAUGAGGGGUUUUACAGUACCUCAAAACCUGACCUCAACAACAGCAAAAAAACAAACAAGCAAACUAGAGGCUUGUUUGAGGCAUCAAGAAAUGAAACCAAAAUAUUGGAUAUAUUUCUGCAAAUUGAUUUUCUUUUUUAGCUCUUAAAUGUUUAACAUUCAAAGUCACUGUUUGAUGAAGAAACUUCAAGCAUCGAUUGAGAUGCUUCAGACACACUUACUGUAAAAUAUGUCAUUGGCCAUCUGUGGGCUUUAUCAACCUUAUCCACUAGAUAAUGGUGCUGUAAAACUAUUAAAUAUGAUUUUAAAUACUAUUUAUUUUUUCUGAGUUACUGUUGUGUGUACAGUGUUUCUACAGCAUGGUAUUGUAAGAAAAACUGAAUAAAGCCACUUUUCAGUAAAUUAUUUCUCUUAGA
Molecule: long non-coding RNA, 3087 nt
Organism: Cyprinus carpio (common carp)
Lineage: Eukaryota; Metazoa; Chordata; Actinopteri; Cypriniformes; Cyprinidae
Source: Ensembl